RNAcentral lists this ribosomal RNA (161 nucleotides) under Dioon spinulosum. RNAcentral's name for it is "5.8S rRNA". It matches the Rfam family "5.8S ribosomal RNA". From Rfam's summary of the family: 5.8S ribosomal RNA (5.8S rRNA) is a component of the large subunit of the eukaryotic ribosome. It is transcribed by RNA polymerase I as part of the 45S precursor that also contains 18S and 28S rRNA. Lineage: Eukaryota; Viridiplantae; Streptophyta; Cycadopsida; Cycadales; Zamiaceae. The record is from RNAcentral.
GCACGGCUCUCGGCAACGGAUAUCUCGGCCCUCGCCACGAUGAAGAACGUAGCGAAAUGCGAUACUUAGUGUGAAUUGCAGAAUCCCGUGAAUCAUCAAGUCUUUGAACGCAAGUUGCGCCCGAGGCUUCGGCCAAGGGCACGUCUGCCUGGGUGUCGUAU